Molecule: ribosomal RNA, 1099 nt
Filed under: Triticum aestivum (bread wheat)
Lineage: Eukaryota; Viridiplantae; Streptophyta; Magnoliopsida; Poales; Poaceae
Description: partial small subunit ribosomal RNA
Source: RNAcentral
AUUUAUGGCCGGUGCCUGGGCCGCGGGCCAAAGUUUGGUUUGGGCAGCGCGUGCUGUGGUGCGGUGUUUCGCUCCCCGCCUGGGCCUCGUUUUUUCUGGUGGUUUCCGUCCGCAGGAGGCAGGGAGACAGGAGCGGCAGGGGUUGGAGAGCGACGUUUUCCAACGAACAGUACCGUAGUUUCGCGUAGGAGUUCCUUGAGUUCCUGGACGUCUUCCUGGGCGGGUGUAGUACGUCACGUCCAGGACGACCACUCCUGUACAAAGUAACCGUUCGUUGUUAAUACCCUGGGGGACUGUCAGGGAUACGGCCGCCACAAAAGAAUCACUUGUAAGUAAAGGGAGGCCUAAUGGGGAAGUUCGGUGGUUUCCAUAGAAAAUUCUGUUUCCAGAAGGUAGGAUUAUAGUUGUCGUUACCUUCGUAUACGGAACUAUAAGAAUUCCUCGUCACCUCGGGACGAAACUGCUAGAGGUUCCAGAACGAGAGAUAGACGAGGGACGACUGGCUAGGGUUGGGCCUACUAGGGGAACAAGGACUCUAACGGGUGUACAUGUUCUGCCUGGCCAGUUUCAUGCUCUGCUGUCGGGCGUCGACCUGCGUCUUCAUGCGGUACCCAACUUCUUCUGGACGUAGCACCUGUUGACUUUACAGCGAAGUUCUUUUUAUAAAUACCCGGUAACAAAGAAGCUAAACAACGACCAACACACAUUAGGCUAGGAGUUCCUAACAUUUAACGUAAGCCGCAGCCGGGAUAGUAGUUAACGGUGAUCAUAGCCGUCUGUACGUACGGAUAGUCGGAUAAGUGGAUACGAACAACCCAAUUGGAAGUAGCCACAACCACAAUAAACCAUUUACAAGUAAUUUUGUACAAACGAAGUACUGGAACAGGUCUAAAUAGAAGAAAACCAAAAUCCAGUACAAAGCUAUACAUACAUACAAGUCAAAACAACAACAAGCGUCGAUUUCGUAGUUCCCAUCAACGUUGAACGUUAUAUGGUCUUCGAGCGACGUUUUGCACAACCGAGACGUAUAAACGAAACGGGGUUCAGUUUGAAAGAUUUGAAACUGGUAAGUAAGUUACUACUUAGAUUACAAUGAUCG